Molecule: microRNA precursor, 83 nt
Filed under: Bombyx mori (domestic silkworm)
Lineage: Eukaryota; Metazoa; Arthropoda; Insecta; Lepidoptera; Bombycidae
Description: mir-2807 microRNA precursor family
Rfam family: mir-2807 microRNA precursor family
Source: Rfam by way of RNAcentral
AAAAGUUAAGUCGUGUGGAGUUGUAGCGUUUGCCUAUGUUUGCCGCUAGGGGCGCUGUUCCAACUGCAUACAAAAUUGGUUUA